This 497-nucleotide ribosomal RNA is filed under the name uncultured bacterium. RNAcentral describes it as "partial 16S ribosomal RNA". It matches the Rfam family "Bacterial small subunit ribosomal RNA", at positions 28 to 507 of the family's 1533-position model. The record is from RNAcentral.
GAUGAACGCUGGCGGCGUGCCUAAUACAUGCAAGUCGAGCGAACAGACGAGGAGCUUGCUCCUCUGACGUUAGCGGCGGACGGGUGAGUAACACGUGGAUAACCUACCUAUAAGACUGGGAUAACUUCGGGAAACCGGAGCUAAUACCGGAUAAUAUAUUGAACCGCAUUGUUCACUAGUGAAAGACGGUUUUGCUGUCACUUAUAGAUGGAUCCGCGCCGCAUUAGCUAGUUGGUAAGGUAACGGCUUACCAAGGCAACGAUGCGUAGCCGACCUGAGAGGGUGAUCGGCCACACUGGAACUGAGACACGGUCCAGACUCCUACGGGAGGCAGCAGUAGGGAAUCUUCCGCAAUGGGCGAAAGCCUGACGGAGCAACGCCGCGUGAGUGAUGAAGGUCUUCGGAUCGUAAAACUCUGUUAUUAGGGAAGAACAAAUGUGUAAGUAACUAUGCACGUCUUGACGGUACCUAAUCAGAAAGCCACGGCUAACUACGUG